This 382-nucleotide ribosomal RNA is filed under the name uncultured eukaryote. RNAcentral describes it as "SSU rRNA". It matches the Rfam family "Eukaryotic small subunit ribosomal RNA", at positions 587 to 972 of the family's 1831-position model. The record is from RNAcentral.
AGCUCCAAUAGCGUAUAUUAAAGUUGUUGCAGUUAAAAGCUCGUAGUCGAAUUUCAGGGCGGGGUGAUCGGUCUGCCGACCGGUAUGCACUGAUCGCGCCGUCCUUCCUGCUGGAGACCAUGCCUGCACUUGACUGGGCGGGUAUGGGAAACAGCGCGUUUACUUUGAGAAAAUCAGAGUGUUUAAAGCAGGCCAAGAUUGCUCUUGCAUGGAUUAGCAUGGGAUAAUGAAAUAGGACUUUGGUGCUAUUUUGUUGGUUUCGAGUACCGAAGUAAUGAUUAAUAGGGAUAGUCAGGGGCACUUGUAUUCCGUUGAGAGAGGUGAAAUUCUUAGACCAAUGGAAGACAAACUACUGCGAAAGCAUUUGCCAGGGAUGUUUUCA